AGUGCAGAACAAUCCACAUCCCCUCUGGACUCCUACUGAAAGAGUCUCUCUCUUUCACCACAAGGCGAGUUGAAAAACAAGAGGAUAGGUGGAGAGAUGAAGCCAGUUUGUCCUGGACUCCUACUGAAAGAGUCUCUCUCUUUCACCACAAGGCAAGUUGAAAAACACCCAAGAGGAUAGGUGGAGAGAUGAAGCCAGUUUUUCCUGGGCUCCUACUGAAAGAGUCUCUCUCUUUCACCGCAAGGCAAGUUGAAAAACACCCAAGAGGAUAGGUGGAGAGAUGAAGCCAGUUUGUCCUGGGCUCCUACUGAAAGAGUCUCUCUCUUUCACCACAAGGCGAGUUGAAAAACAUCCAAGAGGAUAGGUGGAGAGAUGAAGCCAGUUUGUCCUGGGCUCCUACUGAAAGAGUCUCUCUCUUUCACCGCAAGGCAAGUUGAAAAACACCCAAGAGGAUAGGUGGAGAGAUGAAGCCAGUUUGUCCUGGGCUCCUACUGAAAGAGUCUCUCUCUUUCACCGCAAGGCAAGUUGAAAAACACCCAAGAGGAUAGGUGGAGAGAUGAAGCCAGUUUGUCCUGGGCUCCUACUGAAAGAGUCUCUCUCUUUCACCGCAAGGCAAGUUGAAAAACACCCAAGAGGAUAGGUGGAGAGAUGAAGCCAGUUUGUCCUGGGCUCCUACUGAAAGAGUCUCUCUCUUUCACCACAAGGAAAGUUGAAAAACACCCAAGAGGAUAGGUGGAGAGAUGAAGCCAGUUUGUCCUGGGCUCCUACUGAAAGAGUCUCUCUCUUUCACCGCAAGGAAAGUUGAAAAACACCCAAGAGGAUAGGUGGAGAGAUGAAGCCAGUUUGUCCUGGGCUCCUACUGAAAGAGUCUCUCUCUUUCACCGCAAGGCAAGUUGAAAAACACCCAAGAGGAUAGGUGGAGAGAUGAAGCCAGUUUGUCCUGGACUCCUACUAAAAGAGGCUCUCUCUGUCAGCGAGAGAACGAGGACUGACCCUGGUCCACAGUGGAUCUGUUCCUAAACAGCCAUUGCACUAAUGGCUUUUUGAAGGUGUUACAAACAGCUUCAAGUCAAAUUUAGGCACUGAAAAACGGACAUAAUACUUGUAUACCACCUACUCUACACAGCAGGACAUUACCUGGCUUCCCUUCUCUACCUCUCUUAUUCCUGUAAAGUAAAUACCUGCAUUACAGAUCUGAGCAAUCCAGUCCCUGUCCAUAUUCCCGAAAACAUCUGAAACCCUCAUCAAAGAGUAUCUUAAAUAAUCCCUCAGUACCCAUAUUUGCGCAUAAUGGCAUUUCCACCGACAUUUCCCACAUAAUACAUUUUACAGACACAAACAGAUCCCACCAUAUAGAACGAACUAAUGAUCUGUUGGCAUUUAUAUAAUUACACUGAAACUUCCUGUUUCCAUCACAGCUGUUUUUUUUAAUACGAUAUGACUUCCCUCACAUAAAAACUGUGGUUGGAAAUGUGGUUUAUGACUGAGAUAUGUGAUUGUCCCACCUAGCUAUCUUAAGAUGAAUGCACUAACUGUAAGUCGCUCUGGAUAGCCUAAAUUACUCAAAUGCUAAAUACACACACCCAUGGUUGGUACACCGUUUUCCUACCAGACCAGGGGAGGCAGUCAUUUUUAUUUAUUUAUUUUUAUUUCACCUUUACUUAACCAGGUAGGCCAGGUGAGAACAAGUUCUCAUUUACAACUGCGACCUGGCCAAGAUAAAGCAAAGCAGUGCGACAAAAACAACAACACAGAGUUACAAAUGGGAUAAACAAACAUACAGUCAAUAACACAAUAGAAAAAUAUAUGUACAGUGUGUGCAAAUGUAGUAAGAUUAGUGAGGUAAGACAAUAAAUAGGCCAUAGUGGCAAAAUAAUUACAAUUUAGCAUUAACACUGGAGUGACAGAUGUGCAGAUGAUGAUGUGCAAGUAGAGAUACUGGGGUGUAAAAGAGCAAGAAAAAUAAAUAACAAUAUGGGGAUGAGGUCGUUGGGUGGUCUAUUUACAGAUGGCCUGUGUACAGGUGCAGUAAUUGGUAAGCUGCUCUGACAGCUAAUGCUUAAAGUUAGUGAGGGAGAUAUAAGUCUCCAGCUUCAGUGAUUUUUGCAAUUAAUUCCAGUCAUUGGCAGCAGAGAACUGGAAGGAAAGGCGGCCAAAGGAGGUGUUGGCUUUGGGGAUGACCAGUGAAAUAUACCUACUGGAGCGUGUACGGGUGGGUGUUGCUAUGGUGAUGUCUUUUUAAAAUUUAUUUUUCAUUUUUUAUGGUGAUGUUUUGUUGAGCUGCUAUAAGGCCAGGCCUGGGGGCCUGCAGUAGCCAGAUCUCAGAGAUAAUCGACCAGCUCAGUGGUCCCCUCCCCAGCCCUCCCUCCCCCUGUCCCUGAUCCUGUACAGUAAUAACUGUACUCAUGUCAGGGAGGUAAUUUGCUGCAAAAGGUGACAAAUUUCACUGUUGCUCCACUAAGUGAUUCAUGCUCGGUUGUGGUUCCUGUUUGGCCCUGUCCGGGGGUGUCCUCGGAUGGGGCCACAGUGUCUCCUGACCCCUCCUGUCUCAGCCUCCAGUAUUUAUGCUGCAGUAGUUUAUGUGUCGGGGGGCUAGGGUCAGUUUGUUAUAUCUGGAGUACUUCUCCUGUCCUAUUCGGUGUCCUGUGUGAAUCUAAGUGUGCGUUCUCUAAUUCUCUCCUUCUCUCUUUCUUUCUCUCUCUCGGAGGACCUGAGCCCUAGGACCAUGCCCCAGGACUACCUGACAUGAUGACUCCUUGCUGUCCCCAGUCCACCUGGCCAUGCUGCUGCUCCAGUUUCAACUGGCCUGGGCCCUAGGACCAUGUCCCAGGACUACCUGACAUGAUGACUCCUUGCUGUCCCCAGUCCACCUGGCCAUGCUGCUGCUCCAGUUUCAACUGUUCUGCCUUACUAUUAUUCAACCAUGCUGGUCAUUUAUGAACAUUUGAACAUCUUGGCCACGUUCUGUUAUAAUCUCCACCCGGCACAGCCAGAAGAGGACUGGCCACCCCACAUAUGCUCUCUCUAAUUCUCUCUUUCUUUCUCUCUCUCGGAGGACCUGAGCCCUAGGACCAUGCCCCAGGACUACCUGACAUGAUGACUCCUUGCUGUCCCCAGUCCACCUGGCCAUGCUGCUGCUCCAGUUUCAACUGGCCUGGGCCCUAGGACCAUGUCCCAGGACUACCUGACAUGAUGACUCCUUGCUGUCCCCAGUCCACCUGGCCAUGCUGCUGCUCCAGUUUCAACUGUUCUGCCUUACUAUUAUUCAACCAUGCUGGACCUGAGCCCUAGGACCGUGCCCCAGGACUACCUGACAUGAUGGCUCCUUGCUGUUCCCAGUCCACCUGACUGUGCUGCUGCUCCAGUUUCAACUGUUCUGCCUUAUUAUUAUUCGACCAUGCUGGUCAUUUAUGAACAUUUGAACAUCUUGGUCAUGUUCUGUUAUAAUCUCUACCCGGCACAGCCAGAAGAGAGGCCACCCCACAUAGCCCGGUUCCUCUCUAGGUUUCUUCCUAGGUUUUGGCCUUUCUAGGGAGUUUUUCCUAGCCACCGUGCUUUUACACCUGCAUUGUUUGCUGUUUGGGGUUUUAGGCUGGGUUUCUGUACAGCACUUUGAGAUAUCAGCUGAUGUACGAAGGGCUAUAUAAAUAAAUUUGAUUUGAUUUUAUUUGAUUUUGGUUCGCUGCCCUGUUGUUACUGUGGCACCCAGGUGGAUCUGGGUUCUCCUGCAGAUAUACUUCCUUCCCAGCUUUAACUUGACCUUUAACCAAUGGGAGGAAAGGGAGGAUUCUGAUGGGGCAUUUGGACUAGAUAGUCUACCCUAAGACAAAGCUCUUGGGUUUGCGGCCAUGAUUAUGUCCACAUUAAAUUGACAAAUGCUAGAUAAUAUAUGUUCCCAAUACAUGGUCUGUCAUGCAGUAUGUUUCCAACCUAUCUCAGUUGUAGCCUAAUAGUCUAUUAUGCAACGGGUGGUUUGGAAUUCCCAUUGUUCAUCUGUCCUGCCCAUACUACACAACACACACAUUGCCAGUACAUUCAUGAAAAAUGCCAUUGUUACUGAGCAAUGUGCUACUACUACUACUACUACUACUACUACUACUACUACUACAACAACUAUGUAGACAGAUCCACUGCCCAGCCAUGCAAUUUAUAAACUUUAGAUCUCUACGGUGUUCCUUAGUAAUGAAGGUGUCGGGAGUCGGGACAAGACAGACAGGCAGCUUUUCUCAGUCAGUCGAAAUCAUGAAUAAGCAUAAUUUUUAUUGAUAUUUUUCAAAGAAAUGUCAAUAGAAAAACAGGUUAAACGAAACAAAAUUCAGCUAGUUUUCUAUCUUUCCAGCUUCAGUCUGAAGUGAUGGUGUUAGCUGUGUAAUAGGCAAGCUAGCAAGGUGGGUAGAGCUUCCAUAGCAACCUGAAAAGUUGUGGAACUAUCAACCAGCACUUUACAUGGCAGUCAAUAGUCAAUACUAAUAGAACUAACAACCAGAGAACGCCUAAAAUUGCACUUGACAACCAUUGUUAGUGAAUGUAG
Molecule: long non-coding RNA, 4531 nt
Organism: Oncorhynchus keta (chum salmon)
Lineage: Eukaryota; Metazoa; Chordata; Actinopteri; Salmoniformes; Salmonidae
Exons: 3
Source: RefSeq, a predicted model, not a curated record